RNAcentral lists this ribosomal RNA (403 nucleotides) under uncultured bacterium. RNAcentral describes it as "bacterial SSU rRNA". It matches the Rfam family "Bacterial small subunit ribosomal RNA", at positions 355 to 775 of the family's 1533-position model. The record is from RNAcentral.
UAGGAAAUAUUAGUAAUGGGCGAAAGCCUGAACUAGCAACGCCGCGUGUGCGAAGAAGGCCUUCGGGUUGUAAAGCACUUUUUGAGAGGAUGAGGAAGGACGGUACUCUCAGAAUAAGUCUCGGCUAACUACGUGCCAGCAGCCGCGGUAACACGUAGGAGGCGAACGUUAUCCGGAUUUACUGGGCGUAAAGCGCGUGUAGGUGGUUUGGUAAGUAGGGCGUGAAAGCUCCUGGCUCAACUGGUAGAGGCCGUUCUAAACUGCCGAACUAGAGGAUGGUAGAGGGAGGUGGAAUUCCGGGUGUAGCGGUGGAAUGCGCAGAUUUCCGGAGGAACACCAGUGGCGAAAGCGGCCUCCUGGACCAUUCCUGACACUCAGACGCGAAAGCUAGGGUAGCAAACGG